This 355-nucleotide ribosomal RNA is filed under the name uncultured bacterium. Its description in RNAcentral is "bacterial SSU rRNA". It matches the Rfam family "Bacterial small subunit ribosomal RNA", at positions 28 to 365 of the family's 1533-position model. The record is from RNAcentral.
GAUGAACGCUGGCGGCGUGCCUAACACAUGCAAGUCGAGCGAAGCACUUGCGAUUGAUCCUUCGGGUGAUUUUGCUGGUGACUGAGCGGCGGACGGGUGAGUAACGCGUGGGUAACCUGCCUCAUACAGGGGGAUAACAGUUAGAAAUGACUGCUAAUACCGCAUAAGCGCACAGUACCACAUGGUACAGUGUGAAAAAACUCCGGUGGUAUGAGAUGGACCCGCGUCUGAUUAGCUAGUUGGUGGGUAACGGCCCACCAAGGCGACGAUCAGUAGCCGACCUGANAGGGUGACCGGCCACAUUGGGACUGAGACACGGCCCAAACUCCUACGGGAGGCAGCAGUGGGGAAUAUU